UCGGGAAUUUUGGGCAAUGGGCGAAAGCCUGACCCAGCAACGCCGCGUGAAGGAUGAAGUAUUUCGGUAUGUAAACUUCGUAAGAAUAGGAAGAAUCAAUGACGGUACUAUUUGUAAGCUCCGGCUAACUACGUGCCAGCAGCCGCGGUAAUACGUAGGGGGCAAGCGUUGUUCGGAUUUACUGGGCGUAAAGGGCGCGUAGGCGGCGUGACAAGUCACUUGUGAAAUCUCCGGGCUUAACUCGGAACGGUCAAGUGAUACUGUCGUGCUAGAGUGCAGAAAGGGCAACUGGAAUUCUUGGUGUAGCGGUGAAAUGCGUAGAUAUCAAGAGGAACACCAGAGGCGAAGGCGAGUUGCUAGGCUGACACUGACGCUGAGGCGCGAAAGCUAGGGGAGCGAACGGG
RNAcentral lists this ribosomal RNA (404 nucleotides) under uncultured bacterium. RNAcentral's name for it is "bacterial SSU rRNA". It matches the Rfam family "Bacterial small subunit ribosomal RNA", at positions 355 to 776 of the family's 1533-position model. The record is from RNAcentral.